RNAcentral lists this unclassified non-coding RNA (236 nucleotides) under uncultured Mortierella. RNAcentral describes it as "sequence contains ITS2". The record is from RNAcentral. Lineage: Eukaryota; Fungi; Mortierellomycota; Mortierellomycetes; Mortierellales; Mortierellaceae.
AACACCUCAAAUCUCUUUUUUAUUAAAGAGAAUUGGACUUGAGCAAUCCCAACUCUUUGCAAAAGGAGGCGGGUUGCUUGAAAUGCAGGUGCAGCUGGACAUUCUUCUGAGCUAAAAGCAUAUUUAUUUAGUCCCGUCAAACGGAUUAUUACUUUUGCUCUAGCUAAUAUAAAGGUCGAAUGUGCUAUAUGCUGACUGAUGCAGGAUUACCAAGUUUUACUAGCUAAAACUUGUAA